UACGUAGGGGGCAAGCGUUAUCCGGAUUUACUGGGUGUAAAGGGAGCGUAGACGGCGGAACAAGUCAGAAGUGAAAACCCAGGGCUCAACCCUGGGAGUGCUUUUGAAACUGUUUGGCUGGAGUGCAGGAGAGGUAAGCGGAAUUCCUAGUGUAGCGGUGAAAUGCGUAGAUAUUAGGAGGAACACCAGUGGCGAAGGCGGCUUACUGGACUGUAACUGACGUUGAGGCUCGAAAGCGUGGGGAGCAAACAGG
RNAcentral lists this ribosomal RNA (253 nucleotides) under uncultured bacterium. RNAcentral's name for it is "partial 16S ribosomal RNA". It matches the Rfam family "Bacterial small subunit ribosomal RNA", at positions 524 to 776 of the family's 1533-position model. The record is from RNAcentral.